Long non-coding RNA from Manihot esculenta (cassava), 1971 nucleotides. RefSeq lists it as uncharacterized. The record is from RefSeq and is a predicted model, not a curated record. Lineage: Eukaryota; Viridiplantae; Streptophyta; Magnoliopsida; Malpighiales; Euphorbiaceae. The transcript has 4 exons.
AAAAUAAUUAAAUUAAAAGGAAAAUUCAUCUCUUACCAUCCCCCUCUCUCUCUCCGCCGAUUCCAUUCUCUCCGUCCCUCUUUCCUAGAUUCUCUCCAACCCUCUCGAUCUCAUAUCUGGCUUUUCCCCUCUACCGAUUCUUGCUUUCCCCCUCUCCCGAUUCUCCCUCUCAAAUCUCGCUUUCCCCUUCUCCCGAUUCUCGCUUUCUCUCUCUCUCUCCAGUUUGUUCCUUUCUCUCUUUAUCAGUAAAUUUCUACCCAUUUCUUGUCUUGAAUAUGAGUUCCUUUCCAUUACUGCCCAUUUCUUUUCUCACUUUACAUUUCUUCUCUCAAUGUGUGGACCAUAACUCAAUUCAUUGAGUUGAUGCUCCUCAGACCAUUGAAGCGACUGUGUAAAUGUGCUGUUGAAAUGGGUAGUUGUGACAAGGAUGCAGGCUCAGAGACUCAUACAAAAGUGUCAAGGAAAUCCUAGCCGCUUUCAUUGUCGAUUGCCGCAAACAAAACUAUUCUAGAUGCCAUCGAGCCUUCUCUAUAUGAACUAACCAUGAGGUAGGUUCAUUCAAAUCUGUACUUUUAUGGUUCUUAUGUGAUAUAGCUGCAUAAGGCUUAAAAAAUUUUCUUCCGAGGGCACUAUUAGUUAUUUUUGUGUGAAUUUUUUGGGGUAAACAUAGCUUGAAACAUUUUCUUCUAGGUGUUUAGAAAAUAGGUUAUAUGUAUACUACUAAGUAUUAGUAAUUUAUUGUGUAUGGUAAAUAUUUUGGGCAAGCAUUAUAGUACUGUGAUUCUUGAGGGCUAUAAUAAAUGGAUAUUAAGUGGAUCUUGCCAAUUUAUGAGAACUUUACUAAUUGAUUUUUGAAGAAAAGGUAAUCCUAAUAUAAAAGUUGAUGUUGAAGAUAAUACAAUGAAGUUAAACGCCUAUACAUAAAAUUUGGAGCCAAACUUGGUAUUGUAGAUAUUCAAUAGUGAUCGCUGAAAAAAGCGUUAUUGAUUGCCUUUGCAAGUAUUAAAAGAACUGUUAAUCGGUUGGGGGUGAAUAAAGAAAUAAAAGGGGAGAAUGGAAAAUCAUGACAGAAAAAGUUGGUUGUAUCCUUUGAUAUGUGAUAUUUGGGGAUUACUGCAUCAUGUAUUGGGGCCACCAAUUUAUAGAAUCUUCUUGGUGAAUGUUUUUUUUUUAUAUAGAAAUUUACUGAACUUUGAUACUUUUGUCACAUAUAUUUGCUGUAAAAACAAUUUUUUUGUGGUUUAGUUGUGCAUUUACCUUGUUCAUAUGACUCAUAGUGCUAGAGCUUGCCCUUUAUAGUUUUAAAUGGAGAAAAAAUUUAUACAGAUUCAAGAGGUCUAUGAUGAAGCUGUUAUGGCUUCUAGAAAGGUAUUCUCCGAACAUUAUUGAUCAUGGUACGUGAUAAUUGACUCUUAGAUCUGCUAAGGAUUAUCACUUAUUGUCCUGCAAUUUGCUUGAUAGGUGAGCAAUCAUUCUAUUAUUCAUGCUUUAUGCAACCAUUUUGAAGAAGCUUAAGAAACAGCGUUCCUUGAAUAAGAUGGCCAAUGGGGUCACUUCUUUGGAGGUGUGCUUUUUCUUUUAUUCCCCAAGAAGUCUUAAGCUCCCUACUUUUAUAUCAAUUUUCUAUUCCUGAAGCUCCUUUUCCAAUAUUACACAGUACUGCAAAACCAUUUGAUCUUUUUGGGUUAUUUUAUUACGUACCUUACCAUAUUUAGCCAGAUAUUUCUUCUUAGAGCUUUGGUGAAGCUUGGAGCUACUGUUGUAACACUCUUCUUGUUGUAAAGAUAUGCGUUUUCAAGCAAUUCCAAGCAAAUGGUGCAAUGGAUUGGAUUAUCUUAAACGGGCGUUAAUUUCAGUUAUAAACUUUAUUAUACAGCGUAGUAUGCUUUUUUAUUAGAUUAUAAUUUUAGGUCAAUGUAUUAUAAUGUUUGUGAUAUUAUACACAAUUCCAUUUGUCAUAUUUUUUUCAAC